RNAcentral lists this non-coding RNA (31 nucleotides) under Homo sapiens (human). Lineage: Eukaryota; Metazoa; Chordata; Mammalia; Primates; Hominidae. The record is from RNAcentral.
UCCGAGCAUAGAGAUGGGGUGGCCUAUCCUU